Molecule: ribosomal RNA, 253 nt
Filed under: uncultured bacterium
Lineage: Bacteria
Description: partial 16S ribosomal RNA
Rfam family: Bacterial small subunit ribosomal RNA
Source: RNAcentral
UACGUAGGUGGCGAGCGUUGUCCGGAUUUACUGGGCGUAAAGGGCGCGUAGGCGGCGCGGGAAGUCCGUGGUGAAAGCCCGAGGCUCAACUUCGGGUCGGCCAUGGAUACUCCUGGGCUCGAGCACUGUAGAGGCAGGUGGAAUUCCGGGUGUAGCGGUGGAAUGCGUAGAGAUCCGGAAGAACACCGGUGGCGAAGGCGGCCUGCUGGGCAGUAGCUGACGCUGAGGCGCGACAGCGUGGGGAGCAAACAGG